Molecule: long non-coding RNA, 105 nt
Organism: Amblyraja radiata (thorny skate)
Lineage: Eukaryota; Metazoa; Chordata; Chondrichthyes; Rajiformes; Rajidae
Exons: 3
Source: RefSeq, a predicted model, not a curated record
UCGAAGGGCCGAAUGGCCUACUCCUGCACCUUUUUUCUAUUGUGUUAGAAUCCAUUCGAUUCAUCCAUAUAAUUCCAGUUGAUCUGCCAUUUGUCACAACUGUUA